GAACGCUGGCAGCGUGCCUAAUACAUGCAAGAUGAGCGAACAGAGAAGGAGCUUGCUCCUUCGACGUUAGCGGCGGACGGGUGAGUAACACGUGGGCAACCUACCCUAUAGUUUGGGAUAACUCCGGGAAACCGGGGCUAAUACCGAAUAAUUUGUUUCACCUCAUGGUGAAACACUGAAAGACGGUUUCGGCUGUCGCUAUAGGAUGGGCCCGCGGCGCAUUAGCUAGUUGGUGAGGUAACGGCUCACCAAGGCGACGAUGCGUAGCCGACCUGAGAGGGUGAUCGGCCACACUGGGACUGAGACACGGCCCAGACUCCUACGGGAGGCAGCAGUAGGGAAUCUUCCACAAUGGGCGAAAGCCUGUCGGAGCCACGCCGCGUGAGUGAAGAAGGAUUUCGGUUCGUAAAACUCUGUUGUAAGGGAAGCAACAAGUACAGUAGUGACUGGCUGAACCUUGACGGUACCUUAUUAGAAAGCA
RNAcentral lists this ribosomal RNA (481 nucleotides) under uncultured Bacillus sp. RNAcentral's name for it is "bacterial SSU rRNA". It matches the Rfam family "Bacterial small subunit ribosomal RNA", at positions 31 to 492 of the family's 1533-position model. Lineage: Bacteria; Bacillati; Bacillota; Bacilli; Caryophanales; Bacillaceae. The record is from RNAcentral.